GUGCCAGCAGCCGCGGUAAUACGUAGGGUGCGAGCGUUGUCCGGAAUUACUGGGCGUAAAGAGCUCGUAGGUGGUUUGUCGCGUUGUUCGUGAAAUCUCACGGCUUAACUGUGAGCGUGCGGGCGAUACGGGCAGACUAGAGUACUGCAGGGGAGACUGGAAUUCCUGGUGUAGCGGUGGAAUGCGCAGAUAUCAGGAGGAACACCGGUGGCGAAGGCGGGUCUCUGGGCAGUAACUGACGCUGAGGAGCGAAAGCGUGGGGAGCGAACAGGAUUAGAUACCCUGGUAGUCCACGCCGUAAACGGUGGGUACUAGGUGUGGGUUUCCUUCCUUGGGAUCCGUGCCGUAGCUAACGCAUUAAGUACCCCGCCUGGGGAGUACGGCCGCAAGGCUAAAACUCAAAGGAAUUGACGG
This 414-nucleotide ribosomal RNA is filed under the name uncultured organism. RNAcentral describes it as "SSU rRNA". It matches the Rfam family "Bacterial small subunit ribosomal RNA", at positions 505 to 916 of the family's 1533-position model. The record is from RNAcentral.